UUGGAGGGCAAGUCUGGUGCCAGCAGCCGCGGUAAUUCCAGCUCCAAUAGCGUAUAUUAAAGUUGUUGCAGUUAAAAAGCUCGUAGUUGAAUUUCGGGAUCAAUGUUUCGGUCAUGCCGUUGGUAUGUACUGAUAUUAUUGAUUUCUCACCUUCUAAAGAACCGUAAUGCCAUUAAUUUGGUGUCACGGGGAAUUAGGACUGUUACCUUGAAAAAAUUAGAGUGUUUAAAGCAGGCUCACGCUUGAAUACAUUAGCAUGGAAUAAUGAAAUAGGACAUCCGAUUCUAUUUUGUUGGUUUCUAGGAUCGAUGUAAUGAUUAAUAGGGAUAGUUGGGGGCAUUAGUAUUCAAUUGUCAGAGGUGGAAUUCUUGGAUUUAUUGAAGACUAACUACUGCGAAAGCAUUUGCCAAGGAUGUUUUCAUUAAUCAAGAACGAAAGUUAGGGGAUCGAAGACGAUCAGAUACCGUCGUAGUCUUAACCAUAAACUAUGCCGACUAGGGAUCGGAUGAUGUUGAUUUUUUAAUGACUCAUUCGGCGCCUUACGGGAAAC
Molecule: ribosomal RNA, 550 nt
Filed under: uncultured Funneliformis
Lineage: Eukaryota; Fungi; Glomeromycota; Glomeromycetes; Glomerales; Glomeraceae
Description: SSU rRNA
Rfam family: Eukaryotic small subunit ribosomal RNA
Source: RNAcentral